This 400-nucleotide ribosomal RNA is filed under the name uncultured bacterium. Its description in RNAcentral is "bacterial SSU rRNA". It matches the Rfam family "Bacterial small subunit ribosomal RNA", at positions 29 to 416 of the family's 1533-position model. The record is from RNAcentral.
AGCGAACGUUAGCGGCGCGCCUAACACAUGCAAGUCGCACGAGAAAGGGAGCAAUCCCCGGUACAGUGGCGCACGGGUGAGUAACACGUAGAUGACCUUCCCUGGAGUGGUGGAUAACCUGCCGAAAGGCGGGCUAAUACAGCAUGGGACCACAUGGUUUUGACCGAGUGGUGAAAGCGGGCCUCUGUUCACAAGCUCGCGCUCUGGGAUGGGUCUGCGUCCCAUCAGCUAGUUGGUGAGGUAAUGGCUCACCAAGGCAUCGACGGGUAGCUGGUCUGAGAGGAUGACCAGCCACACUGGAACUGAGACACGGUCCAGACUCCUACGGGAGGCAGCAGUGGGGAAUCUUGCGCAAUGGGCGAAAGCCUGACGCAGCGACGCCGCGUGGGUGAUGAAGGCC